Molecule: long non-coding RNA, 433 nt
Filed under: Marmota monax (woodchuck)
Lineage: Eukaryota; Metazoa; Chordata; Mammalia; Rodentia; Sciuridae
Source: RNAcentral
UCCACUCCCUCUCCUUUCAGUUCAGUCUAUACCUCAAUGCCAUGCUAAUCGCUUUACAAAGAGGCUAUGAUUAGUCUUCCUCUUGAUCAAAACUUUCACUAACAUGCCUUUAUGCUUCUACUUAAAAACAAAUUAAAUUAGUUGCAGCAUUUCUUCCUGAAAUAACUUUUAAAAAUAGUAUAGGGAAGAAGUGCUUUGACAAAGUUGAAAUGAGGAACAUGAAAGAUUUCAGCAACCAGAUUCUUUCUGUUUCUCAGUUCUGUGUUGACCUUUAUCUUCCCAAUUAGAAGGAACACUUCAUUUCUCUGCACUGGGGAAGAUGGCAAACAGCAGCCCCAGGCUUAGCAACCCUAAUGAACAAAGAUUUGGUGCCUUCUUCUGAUUAUGAAGCACUCCCAGAGUUGCUUAACCACUGAGCCACAUUCCCAGCCCU